AUUGAACGCUGGCGGCAGGCCUAACACAUGCAAGUCGAGCGGAUGAAGGGAGCUUGCUCCUGGAUUCAGCGGCGGACGGGUGAGUAAUGCCUAGGAAUCUGCCUGGUAGUGGGGGAUAACGUCCGGAAACGGGCGCUAAUACCGCAUACGUCCUGAGGGAGAAAGUGGGGGAUCUUCGGACCUCACGCUAUCAGAUGAGCCUAGGUCGGAUUAGCUAGUUGGUGGGGUAAAGGCCUACCAAGGCGACGAUCCGUAACUGGUCUGAGAGGAUGAUCAGUCACACUGGAACUGAGGCACGGUCCAGACUCCUACGGGAGGCAGCAGUGGGGAAUAUUGGACAAUGGGCGGAAGCCUGAUGCAGCCAUGCCGCGUGGGUGAAGAAGGUCUUCGGAUUGUAAAGAACUUUAAGUUGGGAGGAAGGGCAGUAAGUUAAUACCUUGCUGUUUUGACGUUACCAACAGAAUAAGCACCGGCUAACUUCGUG
Molecule: ribosomal RNA, 484 nt
Filed under: uncultured bacterium
Lineage: Bacteria
Description: partial 16S ribosomal RNA
Rfam family: Bacterial small subunit ribosomal RNA
Source: RNAcentral